GAAAGCAGCCACAAAGUAACACAAUGUUCCGGCUGUACUGUAGCUGUACCGCUGCCGCUGCUGACGAGAACACUGUGUUCCAAUAGACACCCUGACCUGUAACCCGUUCCGUGCCGAGCCAGUCCGGGAACAGCCUGUACCGCAGCAGGCUGUUCUCUCUCCGCUCAGCUGACAACACAUAUCAUCAACACUGCUGUGUAAUAGCCGAGUACAGACGGGGGAUGUGUAAGCACCGAAAUAAAUAAGCAUCACACUGCCCGAUAAGACGCGCGGUGAGACGGAUUACUGUUUCUGUUAAAGACAUCUUGUUUUUUUUUAUUUUAUAUUUCUUGUUUACCGGAUAUUUUUUUUGUAUUCUUUUAAGUACAAUCGCUGUAGCGUUUCUAUAACUUGUGUGAAGGUUUCUGGUGGGCAAAUCCCACAGUCAGAGGUGGUGAGGACAGUCUGACCACACUGCUGGCAGACAGCCAGGCAGCUAUUGAAGGGAACAUGAUGAUCCUGUUAAUUAUAAAGGUGACAUAACACAAGUGAACCUGAUUCUGCAAACCCACAUGGAUGUUGUCAAAUGGCUGAGUAAUCUUCUGAGCAAUCAGUUAUAGGAAGAACGUAGGUUUCACACACUCUCGAGUACAUUUAGUACAUUUUAUUAAAAAGCAGAACAUAGUAGAGAAUCAGAUGAGAUCAAUAAUACAACCACCUACCUGAAGCGAUUAACAGUAAAUACAUGGAUCAUUUUUUAAAAGUCUCAUCAAGGCAGUUGACUCCAGCAGAUAUUUGUUUGUUUUCCCAAACCCUCGUCUGGACUGCGGUGUCCUGGUAGCUUUGUUGGCACUUCCCCCUCGUCUUGUGUGCAUAAGUAAGUCAAAAAUGAACUCAGCUGACCUGAGCUGAACCGAAAUGCUUGAAUAGAUUUCUAUAUUGACACAUGGCCUGAGAUGCUGUCUUCCUUCCUGAAACACCAUGAACAUCUUGUUUCUGUUCUAGUGAAAGCAGAAACCUCAUAGGAAACAGGAAAAAUUUGGCGCUUAAAUAAACUGCUCGUAGGUGUUUAAUUUAAAUGUAAUAAAAAUAUUUAUAUAGAUUUAUCACUCAGAUUUUUGAGCUUUAGAGCCUCUCACUGCUCUGAGUGAGAAAGAGUUGCUCAGCAUUCACUAAAAAGUCUUAUAAUCUUUGUUAAAAUAAACCAAUAAACAGUAGGGCUUCUUGAUAAUUAGAUAACACAUUUACUAUAUAUUGUAUGGAAUACUAAAAUCCGUCAAGCAUUUGCGAGAAUACGUCUGUCUGAAUGAGUGUCUUGGUGUAACCAGAAGCACGCGGGUGAGUUCAUUCAGGGAUACAGGCUGCACAGUCAUCAGGAAGUGAAACAGAACAGAAUGUGCUGUACUAAUCUGAUUGAAAAACACUGCCCUGAGUGGAGGCACGAAAAAAAAAAAAAGAUGUUUCAUUUAAACAGCUAAAAGGAGAGUCCUAUGGCAGCAGGGGAGUAUGUACAAAGAAAACAAGCUGGGCUUAACUCUUCAUUUGGUGAUAUAAAAGACAAGUGGUGAGGAUAAGGUUAGAGAAACACUUGGUCACACACAAACAUGCGCACUGCAACAUAAUGCUCUUUGUUUGUGUUCUAGGCAUCCGUGUUACGUACAUGGGAGUAAUCUCCUGAGUGAUCCCUUUUAUCCCUGAACUUUUGCCCCCCGAAGCAAGAGUCCUAUGCUGCUGUAUCUGCCAAGGACCCUAAAUAAAUGAUUCUUUGCUGCGGCUGAUGAAGACAAACACAGGAACAGUGACAAACAGGAGGAAUAUUUUUUCAUUUCAACUUGAACCUUAAAUGACUGUAUUUCUUUAUCUUGUUGUAUUUUAUUAGAUAAUCAGUCAUAAUGGCUUCUUCAGAAUUAGUUAUCAUCUCAUGAUAUUAAUCAUAUUGUAAAGAUAGUUUACUGAAGUUAAAGUCACAAUACAACAAGUACAGAUGUAUUAUGUACUUAAAGUGUUACAGUACCUUAUCAUACAUUUUAGUAUUUGAUUAUAAUUGUGUGGAAGAAGCAUUUAAUGUUGCAGUUAAUUGAAGUGGAGUUAAUUUCAAACUCUGAAUAGGUACCGUUGGGUAGUCUAAUCUAUAAUAAUGCUAAUAAGUUAAGUUUUGUAUAGCUUUCAAAUAAAGGCAAUAUUAUUUAAAGUAUGAAGUGACUGAGUAUUCUAGUGUGCACUACAAAUGUAGAUAAACGUACUUAUUCCACCACGAACUGUGGUGAAACCACACACACACACACACACACAUAUAUAUACAUAUAUAUAUUUGGAAAGGUAAAAAGGCAUGCUGAGGGGUUUUUUUUAGAUAUAAAAUGUCUGUAUUUAUUUCUGAAGAUGAUUUCUAUCCCCAUCCACUAUUGUGGGAGUUUGGUUGUUUAGUAGCCUCAGCAGUGGAUUUCUCUCAUGCAUGAACACAGUAUGAAUAAAAAAGUGCAAGACUUCCAGA
Molecule: long non-coding RNA, 2470 nt
Organism: Dicentrarchus labrax (European seabass)
Lineage: Eukaryota; Metazoa; Chordata; Actinopteri; Moronidae
Exons: 2
Source: RefSeq, a predicted model, not a curated record